AUGCAACUCUUGUUCUUGGGGUUGUAACUUCAAGCCCCAUGUGGGGUGUGGAGAUUCCUUAAGAA
Molecule: long non-coding RNA, 65 nt
Organism: Mustela erminea (ermine)
Lineage: Eukaryota; Metazoa; Chordata; Mammalia; Carnivora; Mustelidae
Exons: 3
Source: RefSeq, a predicted model, not a curated record